UAGGGAAUCUUCCGCAAUGGGCGAAAGCCUGACGGAGCAACGCCGCGUGAGUGAUGAAGGUCUUCGGAUCGUAAAACUCUGUUAUUAGGGAAGAACAAAUGUGUAAGUAACUAUGCACGUCUUGACGGUACCUAAUCAGAAAGCCACGGCUAACUACGUGCCAGCAGCCGCGGUAAUACGUAGGUGGCAAGCGUUAUCCGGAAUUAUUGGGCGUAAAGCGCGCGUAGGCGGUUUUUUGAGUCUGAUGUGAAAGCCCACGGCUCAACCGUGGAGGGUCAUUGGAAACUGGAAAACUUGAGUGCAGAAGAGGAAAGUGGAAUUCCAUGUGUAGCGGUGAAAUGCGCAGAGAUAUGGAGGAACACCAGUGGCGAAGGCGACUUUCUGGUCUGUAACUGACGCUGAUGUGCGAAAGCGUGGGGAUCAAACAGG
This 429-nucleotide ribosomal RNA is filed under the name Actinomycetes bacterium. RNAcentral describes it as "Actinobacteria bacterium partial 16S ribosomal RNA". It matches the Rfam family "Bacterial small subunit ribosomal RNA", at positions 355 to 776 of the family's 1533-position model. The record is from RNAcentral. Lineage: Bacteria; Bacillati; Actinomycetota; Actinomycetes.